This 459-nucleotide ribosomal RNA is filed under the name uncultured bacterium. Its description in RNAcentral is "partial 16S ribosomal RNA". It matches the Rfam family "Bacterial small subunit ribosomal RNA", at positions 338 to 795 of the family's 1533-position model. The record is from RNAcentral.
CCUACGUGUGGCAGCAGUGAGGAAUAUUGGUCAAUGGUCGGGAGACUGAACCAGCCAAGCCGCGUGAGGGAGGAAGGUACAGAGUAUCGUAAACCUCUUUUGUCAGGGAACAAAGACUGGGACGCGUCCCCGGCUGCGUGUACCUGAAGAACAAGCAUCGGCUAACUCCGUGCCAGCAGCCGCGGUAAUACGGAGGAUGCGAGCGUUAUCCGGAUUUAUGGGGUUUAAAGGGGUCGCAGGCGGUCUGUUAAGUCAGCGGUCAAAGCCCGGGGCUCAACCCCGGCCCGCCGUUGAAACUGGCAGUCCCGAGUUGGAGAGAAGUAUGCGGAAUGCGCGGUGUAGCGGUGAAAUGCAUAGAUAUCGCGCAGAACUCCGAUUGCGAAGGCAGCAUGCCGGAUCCACACUGACGCUGAGGCACGAAAGCGUGGGUAUCGAACAGGAUUAGAGACCCCAGUAGUC